Molecule: long non-coding RNA, 1556 nt
Organism: Papaver somniferum (opium poppy)
Lineage: Eukaryota; Viridiplantae; Streptophyta; Magnoliopsida; Ranunculales; Papaveraceae
Exons: 5
Source: RefSeq, a predicted model, not a curated record
AUAGAAUGCCAAAAAAGAAAAAAAAAAUAAUGUGAAAUCACUAAAAUUCCCAGCUGAAGAGGAAGAAUAGGAGGAGAAGCAUUACGGAGCAUUUCAUUUACACCUAUGUUGUCAAAUCACAGCUUAUGUUGCGUACCAAGUUGAUUUGAGGUUUGGCGAGAGUAGUGCAAGCAUUCUAGCGAAGAUCUACUUUGCUGCUUCGCAUUCAGAUGGGCCUUCACAUUCUGUAGAGCAGGUUCUGAUGGUUUUAAUUUCAGAAUGUGUGUAUGUAUGUGAUAAUGGAAGUUUGAAACGAUCAAAUUUGACUAUUUAGAUUGGGAAGAAACUUGAAGUCUAAAUCAGCAAGAAGCACUACUUGACAUCCAGAUGUACCUGAGGUUACCAAAGAAGUCAUGAAAGAGUGUCUCCGCCUACCUCUAGCUCUCAUCAAUGUAGAUCGAACUGUUCCUAGCGCAAAGACUAUCCGAAAGAGGCAGUGUCCACUAAUUUUCAGUCGGUUUGUCUUCCUAGAGUGCUGGCAUUAUGUUUCUGAAGGAUGGUGAUGCGUGUAUUGUCCGGAUGUUGUUUACCAAGUUGAUUCGGGGUUCAAUAAAAGUAAUGCAGGCAUUCUAGCGAAGAUCGAGUUGUUUGCUGCGGCGCAUUUCAGAUGGGCCUCAAAAAUUCGUUACAUUCUGUAGAGCAGGUUCUGAGGGUUUCAAUUUCAGCAUAGUGUUCAAACUUCCAGAAUUAAGCUGCCUAUUACAAGGACUCUCUGAAAGUGGCAACGUCUACUCCGUUUCAGGCAUACACGGAAGUUAUGCCCUUUUGCACACCAUAUCUACCAAUGAUUCCGCUUCAGUCAGUUUGUCUUCCUAGAGAAAUAGCAUUAUGUUUGUGAAGGAUGGUAAUAUGUGGCUUCUUAAAGAGCGACUUUUAGUGGAGCGAAAACUCCUUAUCCUGGUAAUUGGAAGCACUGGGUUUCAUCAAGAAUUAGUAUCUCUUUGGAAAAAUCAUGUUAUGUUGCUUGGUACAACAGUUAACAUCUGUAGAAGAGGUAUUGUGCUUCCCUUGCUCUGUGUCCUAUGGGAGACCUAAUGCGCAGAAAACCUUGUCCAUUCGUCAUUCAGGCAGACAACCAUUUCCGUUGAAGAAGCUUGAUAUUAGUUUCUCAUCGGAAAUUUGAAAGCUUCACAUAAUCAUUUGGGGUUAUUUAUUUCCUGCACUGACUCUGGUGGCACGAGUUUUUAAUGGCACAAAGGCCUCGAGAUACUGGCUUUCAACAUCAAAACUCUCAGCUCUUCUGGAGACAGUUUUCCUCCCUGAACUGAGUUCUCUAUUCGGGUUAUGGAUAUUCAGUUUGGACACUCUCCAUUAGGGAUCCUCCUUGAUGUGUUCAUGAUUUCUAGUUUGUCCUUGCGCUAUUGUUUGCUUUCUUUUAAUUUUCUUUCUCGCUUUAAUCUUUUUCAUUUUGUCUUGCCUCAUUUGUUGCAAUUGGCUUUUUGUUCAUCCGGUUUUCGAUACCAAAUUGGAAAACUUGUAUAAUUUUGAAAAAAAAGCUUAGUUCAAAUGAACUUUGG